CGUGCUUAACACAUGCAAGUCGAACGAUGAACCAGGAGCUUGCUCUUGGGGAUUAGUGGCGAACGGGUGAGUAACACGUGAGUAACCUGCCCUGGACUCUGGGAUAACCCCGAGAAAUCGGAGCUAAUACCGGAUAGGACCUGGAACCGCAUGGUUUUGGGUGGAAAGUUUUUUCGGUCUGGGAUGGACUCGCGGCCUAUCAGCUUGUUGGUGAGGUAAUGGCUCACCAAGGCGUCGACGGGUAGCCGGCCUGAGAGGGUGACCGGCCACACUGGGACUGAGACACGGCCCAGACUCCUACGGGAGGCAGCAGUGGGGAAUAUUGCACAAUGGGCGAAAGCCUGAUGCAGCAACGCCGCGUGAGGGAUGACGGCCUUCGGGUUGUAAACCUCUUUUAGUAGGGAAGAAGGGCUUCGGCUUGACGGUACCUGCAGAAAAAGCACCGGCUAACUACGUGCCAGCAGCCGCGGUAAUACGUAGGGUGCGAGCGUUGUCCGGAAUUAUUGGGCGUAAAGAGCUCGUAGGCGGUUUGUCACGUCUGCUGUGAAAUCCCGAGGCUCAACCUCGGGCCUGCAGUGGGUACGGGCAGACUGGAGUGCGGUAGGGGAGAUUGGAAUUCCUGGUGUAGCGGUGGAAUGCGCAGAUAUCAGGAGGAACACCGAUGGCGAAGGCAGAUCUCUGGGCCGUAACUGACGCUGAGGAGCGAAAGCGUGGGGAGCGAACAGGAUUAGAUACCCUGGUAGUCCACGCCGUAAACGUUGGGCGCUAGAUGU
This 773-nucleotide ribosomal RNA is filed under the name Agromyces sp. RNAcentral's name for it is "bacterial SSU rRNA". It matches the Rfam family "Bacterial small subunit ribosomal RNA", at positions 43 to 823 of the family's 1533-position model. Lineage: Bacteria; Bacillati; Actinomycetota; Actinomycetes; Micrococcales; Microbacteriaceae. The record is from RNAcentral.